UAUUAUAUACUUAAAACAAAAGGCAACAAGCCAUUACGUUACGUAAAAAUAUGUACAUGUACAAGUAGUAUAACAUGCCACGUACAAAUAGUGCACAUAGGUUCCAUCCAAAUCGUCAACUAGCCCGCAGAAAAAAAAAAUCUUUUAAUCAAUGGGUCAAGGAAGCAAAAAUAGUAGGAAACCUAAACAAAUAAGGACAACGAUUGGACCUAACCAGACCUCACGUGAGGAAGUUCCAAAACAGGAACCAAGACAUGAAAAAAAGACAGGUUUCCGAUCUGCUUUCACGGUCUCGGCCACCUCAACCCACGCACCUCCACCCAUAUAUAAACAAGUACAGCCGGCCGUAGAAGCACACACCAAAAUUUUUGAUGUCGGCAACCAAGAUGGCUUGAAGACAUCACACGCGACUCGGCAACUCAGAUGGCUUGAAGACAUCACACGCAACUGGGCAACUCGACAUUUGAUACGCAAAGCCACCUCCAGCCGCUUCACUCUACGUCCGACGAAGUCACGCCAAAGCACACUCAACGCAUGACAAAGCCAUGCCCAGCUACUCCAAUCGACCUCGGAAGAAGUGACGCCAAAGCACUUUUGGCCUAAAUCAUCAGAUAAUUUGGUAAUUGUUAGUAACAGUCUUAUUUUCUCCGGUUAGAAUCUUUAUAAACACUAUAUCAAUUGACAAAUUGCUCCCUAUUAAUAUUCAAGGCAAAACACUAUGACAUGCAAGAAGUUGAGCGACUUAAAUACAACGGGACUGAACUGGAACAUUCAUCAAGUAAAACAAAUACGAAUGUGGUAUUCAGUCAAUCCUACCACUGAUGAGCUUAUUAGCCUAGAUAUGAUAUAAGUGCAAAGGAUCAUCAGAAAUUGACCAAACAAUCAGUGCGGAGAUCUCGGACAAAGAUGUUGAUCCGGACGGAUAUGAAGCUGUUGAAAAUUUCAUGAUGCACGGGCCUUGCAGAGAGGCAAAUACAAAAUCACCAUGCAUGAUCGACAACAGAUGCACUAAACACUUCCCAAAAGGAUACAAUGUCGAUACCACAAUCCAUGAGGAUGGGUUUCCAGUAUAUAGAAGGUGAGACAAUGGAAGGAAGAUCAAAAAGGGAGGAGCAAUGCUCAACAACAGAUUUGUCGUACCAUACAACCGCAACCUUUUGGUCAAUUCCAAGGUCACAUAAAUGUCAAGUGGUGCAACAGGCCCAGGUCAAUCAAGUACCUAUUUAAGAACAUCCAUAAAGAUGACGAUCAGGUAAUGGCCUUACUAAAGGAAAGAGAUGCGGCAAACGACUAUGAUGACAUCAAGAAAUACCUAGAGAUGAGAUACAUAUCAACAACUGGAGCAUACUGGUGGAUAUUCCAGUUUGAUCUACACACCAUCGUGAUCCACCAGUCAAGAGACUACCAUUCCACAUUGAAAAUGAUCAAGAAGUUAUUUUUCUAGACUCGACUGACAUUGAUAAGAUAGUAGAAGGCCAGGAUCCACGAGUACUAAGUUCACUGAGUUGAUGGAGGCAAACAAAAUACAUGAGGCGGGAAAAGAAUUAACCUAUGCAGAAUUCCCAUCAAAAUUUUUAUGGAAAAGCGAAACCAAAACUUGAGGAGCCGAAACGGGGCUUCGCUAUUGGAAGAAUCUACUAUGCAAACUCUGCAAGUGGCAACCGGUAUUAUAUGAGAAUGCUUCUAAACACCAAGAAAGGAUGCACAUCAUUCAGGAUAUUGGAACCGUUAAUGGAGCUGUUCACCCAACAUACAAAUAAGCAUGCCAAGCGCUUGGAUUUCUUGAUGACGACAGUGAGUGGAUUGAAUGCAUCAAUGAAGCAUAAUGCUGGGUCUCAGGGACACAAUUACGACAAUUAUUCACCACAAUUUUAUGCCAUUGUGAGGUGACCAGCCCAAAGAUGUUGAGGGAAUCAACAUGGGAGGCACUGUCUAAAGAUAUCCAGUACAAAAGAAGAAUUAUCCUUAACUUUCCUAUGCUGUAGCUCACUGAUUCACAGAAAAAGGCAUAUGCUCUGAUUGAGAUAGACAAACUAAUGAGGCAAGAAGGAAAGACACUAAAGGACUAUCCAAAUACAGAACUACCAAAUGCUACAGAACUUGAAGAACUUGGGAACAGAAUGAUAAACGAAAAACUUAGCUAUGGCAUGGAGGCACUAAAGAAUGAGCACCAAACCAUAAUAAGCAAUGUUAACCAUGGUCAGAAAAUGACCUUUGAUGCAAUAAUGGAAUCAGUUGCGAAAGGACUUGGAAAAUAGAUAUUUGUAGAAGGCUACGGUGGCACAGGCAAAAUUUAUCUGUGGAAAGCAAUUACAACGAAGCUACGGUCAGAGGGAAAGAAAGUGCUUGCGUUAGCAUCAUCUGGCGUUGCAGCUUUGCUC
This 2381-nucleotide long non-coding RNA is filed under the name Triticum aestivum (bread wheat). RNAcentral describes it as "long non-coding RNA (TAES_LNC027027)". The record is from RNAcentral. Lineage: Eukaryota; Viridiplantae; Streptophyta; Magnoliopsida; Poales; Poaceae.